Small nuclear RNA from Callithrix jacchus (white-tufted-ear marmoset), 114 nucleotides. Its record names the gene U5. It matches the Rfam family "U5 spliceosomal RNA". Rfam says of the family: U5 RNA is a component of both types of known spliceosome. The precise function of this molecule is unknown, though it is known that the 5' loop is required for splice site selection and p220 binding, and that both the 3' stem-loop and the Sm site are important for Sm protein binding and cap methylation. Lineage: Eukaryota; Metazoa; Chordata; Mammalia; Primates; Cebidae. The record is from Ensembl.
AUGCUCUGGUUUCUCUUCAUAACAAAUCUUUUUGCCUUUUAUUAAAGAUUUCCCUGAAGAGUUAACAGUUGUGAAUUGGUGACCAAAUUUUUUGAGGCCUUCUUAGGCAGGGCU